UACGUAGGUCCCGGGCGUUGUCCGGAUUUAUUGGGCGUAAAGCGAGCGCAGGUGGUUUAUUAAGUCUGGUGUAAAAGGCAGUGGCUCAACCAUUGUAUGCAUUGGAAACUGGUAGACUUGAGUGCAGGAGAGGAGAGUGGAAUUCCGUGUGUAGCGGUGAAAUGCGUAGAUAUAUGGAGGAACACCGGUGGCGAAAGCGGCUCUCUGGCCUGUAACUGACACUGAGGCUCGAAAGCGUGGGGAGCAAACAGG
Molecule: ribosomal RNA, 252 nt
Filed under: uncultured bacterium
Lineage: Bacteria
Description: partial 16S ribosomal RNA
Rfam family: Bacterial small subunit ribosomal RNA
Source: RNAcentral